AAAGACAGCGCAGCCAUUGUGCUGAAUCUGAAAAAUCACUUUGUCUGCAGAGAAAUGUAGUGAUAGGAAAAGGGACAAUGGCUUCAAGGGUACCUUUGGAUUAGCAUUAGGAGGAAAUUCCAUACUGUGAGGGUGUCUGUGGAUGCCCCAUCCUGGAAAUGUUCCAGAACAGGUUAGAGGGGGCUCUGAGCAAAAGAUGUCCCUGCUCAUGGCAGAGGAUCUUUAAGGUUUCUUCCAACCAAAACCAUUCUAUGAAAAACAAAUUUAGUUAGAAAACACUGUUUAUCUCUCUUCUGAGAGUUACAGUUCAGGUAUCUGAUCUAGUUGAAGAUGGCCCUGCUUAUUGAAGGGGGAUUGAACUAGAUGAGCUUUAAAUGUCCCAGGUCAAACUAUCCUGUGAGACCUCUUAUUCCUAUACUUGAUUCCCAAUUACACCAAUUUUCUAAUCUCCAUUCCCAAGGCCAGAGUGCAUCACAGGAAAUACAAGGCAAACAGCAGGUCUGGGCUAUUGAAACAUUUAAGAAAGAAAAUCACCAACUUCAAGCAAUCUAUAUAACUUUUCACCUAAAACUUUGCAUUUUUGCCCAAACUUCCAAUGGAUUAGGGAAGAUGUUUCUGAGCUACUCUGUAAUGCACUGCAGAAAGAGCUCAUUUUCAGAAUAAGUGCAAUAGUUGAAAUGUUUAAACAUUUGAAGUGACCAAGAGAAGUAGGUGGCAAAGAAAUUGUCUUUAGAAAAGCGUUGUGACCAUGAGUAAAUCUAAACAUACAAGUUAUACCUCCUUGACUUCCUGCUGUACAUACAUAUAUUUCUCUAUACACUCAAAUAUAACACAUGCACACAAUUUGAAGUCAAUACACUGUGAUUGUUCUGUGCUAGUUUGAUUUUUCUCUGCGUAGAGCAUCUGAGAGAGGUGUCUCACAAAAGUUGCUUGAGUGGCUUGUUACCCAAGCAACCAUGAGAGGCCAGAACAUUCAGCACCUCUGAAAUGGUUUGGGUGUCUAAUUUUGACUGCUUUUUCCUGAAUUAGACCAGAACUGACUUGAACAAGUGGCUGAUUUUGUUGUAUCCAUCAGAUAUCAACCAUAUGAUCCAUGCUUAACACAGCUUGUGCAACACAUGGGAGUGUUCCUAUCAGCAGCAGCAUCUGACUAACGAGACUGUUGCUCUUCUUUUUCUGUUAAUAUUUUGGUUCUUUCUUGGACUCUUUCCUCUGUCUCAUUCAAAAUGUUGGGAUUUCACAUUAAUUAAAUUGCAAUCACUCAUGGUAUUGUCCUGGUUUCCACUGGGAUAAAGUUAAUUUUAUUUUUAGUAGCUAGUACAACACUGUUUUGGAUUUUGUAGCUAAGUAGUGUUUUCUCUUAUUAAAGGACUACUCAGGUUCCCAUGCUCUGCCAGUGAAUAGGUACACAAGCUGGGAGGGAGCAUGGCCAGGACAGCUGGCCCAACCUGACCAGAGGGAUAUUCUUAUAUCAUAGAUUGUCAUGCUCAGUAUAUAAACUGGGGAGAAUUGGCUGGAGGCUGCCAGUCACUGCUCGGGGACAGGCUGGACCUCAGUCAGAAGGUGAUAAGUAACUGUAGCCAUCUCUUGGGUCUUAUCUCCCUGUCUCUCUCUCUCUCUCUCCUUUUCCUCUCCUUGGCUUAUCUCAGUCCAAAAGCAAUAAAAAAAUUAAAUUAGUAAUUCCUAUGUAACUAUUUUUAAAAGGACACAGAGAUGCCCGGCUGGGGGGGAAUUAAGUAUCUGCAAACAGCAGAGAUCAAUGUGGUAAAGGUGUUCUGAGGUGUAGGUAGCUUUGGUACUUAAGGUUUACAUAGAUGUUGCCAAACGCCCUAAUGUAUGACAAAGAAUAUAAUUUGCCAUACAUGUUACUAUGCUCAUCAACCCUUUAAAAACAAAAAAAAAAAAACAACUCCUGUGAGAUUAAUGAAAGUUGCUUGCAUUCUUUUAUUUUAAUACUGGAUUUUUAGUAGGAAAGAAUCUGUCCCUAGUUCCAAAAUGAUCAAUACCACAGACAAACUCCAAAGGAUUACAGUGGCCUCAGAAAUGCUGAAAUGGAUGAAAUGGACAGAUUUUAUUUUGUGCCAGUUAUAGAGACUUCUUUCUUUAUAUGACUCUAAAGCAUUUUGCAAAAAAGAAAAAAAGACUGUCAGAUGCCAUCAAUAAACAGCCUAAACUAUUGAUGGAAUCCUGUAACAGAUACUGAAGUGGGCCUUAGGAGCUGCACCUAAUUCAGAAAAAAAAUUACCAAGUGUGGAAGCCAGCAUAGCUAAAACACCAGAGAAUUCUAUGCAGUAGAUGAAGGCCUUGAGGUUAAAUAGUUACUCAGAUGGGAAAGCAUACAGGCUCCUUUACAUCAGAAGACAACACAAAACCAAUUUAAAGCCUGGAGCUAUGAUUCCUUUCCUAUUUGAAGACUUGCAUUAUCUCACAUUAGGCUUAGGAGAGGGGAAUACUCUCUGUCCAUAUGCACCGUAUUCCUUAUGACCCCUGUGCUCAAGUGAGAGCCUUGUAUAAAAGCCAUUAGCAUCAAGUUUGUUAUGCCAUGCUGCACUGGAUGACUUUUUUGGUGCCAGGGGGAAGGUUGUUGCAUUUUAGCUGAGAAUUUCAGAGCACGACUUGUAUUUGGAUACACAACUCCCUAUUCUUUUGAUUGAAAACAUAUAGCUUUUUUAAACAGUCCAUCUUUUGCUCUUCUCAUAUAUAAUGGAGGCUGCUGCAAAGUGAGCUAAAGAGCAAAAGCAAGAUCUGUAUUUUUAAAAAUUACUAAUAAUCAGGGGUACUGUUAUCUUUGGCAAAGAAAUUUUAAUGACAUUAAUAGGAUCUUGCAAGUCAGUAAGCACAUUCCCUAAUCCCAGUCCACCUAGCACCUGACUACUUCCCACAGGACUGUAGGAGGGAUUUAUUAAACAAGAAGAGACACAAGGGACUCAGGGUCAUAGAAAACAGGUUGUAGGAAAUGUACUGCAGAGCUCACCAGCCAGCUAGGGAGACUAGCAAACCUUUAAUGCUAAACACCUCUUCUAAGCACAUGUGGAAAAUAAGUGGUGGGCAGUGUUCACAGCAGAUUCCAGAUGAUUCUGUGCUAGAAUGUUUGAGUUUUUUCUUAAAUGGCCAGCCUUAAAACAGUGUCUCCAUUAUGUGCCAUGUUGGGAAUCACAUUGCUUUGCUGGACAGAAUUUGCUCUAUAUUUCUUAAGGUUGUUUUAUACCCAAAACCCUGCAGGUUUGGCAUCCUGAAAUGGGACCAGCUCUGUAUUCACAUCUGCAAGCUGUGGACUCUGCUGCUGUCACACAGCCUUCAGAACUGCUGAAGGUGGUGGAUUUUUCAACUCCAGCUUCGGCUUAGCCUGGCAGCGAACCAGACCAUGGAGAUGCUCUGUCAGGAUACACAUUAAAGACAUGAGUUGAAGACACCAAAAAGCAGAAAAAAAUGCACUAAGAUCCCUAUCUCUAGUACCACUCACAGACAAAUAUUACUUCUAAAUCUAAGCCAAGAGUGAAGCUGGUAUGGGAGAAGCAGCAUUGUUAGAGGAAGGAAUUUAGCAAUGUCACCUUCAGGUAAGACCUGCAGUAUCUAUCUAGCUGGAACUCCUAUCUGUAAGUUGUUAGUUUCUUUUGUUUUUAAUAUAUACUACAUUUUGUAAAGCUUUAUCAGAUUAAUCUUCCACCAAAAAAAAAAAAAAAAAAGGCAUUUAUCCUCACAACUUGGCUGGGGUUUGUUCAGUUUUCAGAGGUUCUAAGAGGAGAUGGAGAACAGCACAAAACUGCACAAUCAUUGAGCCAAAUGUAAAUAAUUCUGCGAUCCUUCUUGCUAAGCUGUCCCCUGAAUGAGUGUGUCAGGUAUAAUGGUGUAAUAGGUGUUUUUUUUCCCACCACAACUUCACAUCACACCUCACAUGUGGUUACAGAGGUCACUGUUGAAAGAUUCUCUGAUUCCUGACAUGGAUUCAGUAGUCUGAGUAUAGGUUAGGACAGCUGAUGCUACAGUAAACAAACCAUCAUGUUUGAAACAGCCAAAUGCUGUAAAUAUGUGGCGUUACUGAGACAGGAUUAUAACCCUUUCAGGCCCUCAGUGUGCACUCAGCCUUCUGGCACCAAAAGCUGAAGUAAUAUUAGCAGAAGUCAUGCUUCAAGAACACUAAUUAUGUCUUGAGAAUGAAGAUAUGAAAGAGAAUGACCUGCCAUGAAGUCCCUAGCUACCUUACUAAUUGAGGUAGCAAAGCAUCUGAAUCUUUAUUGUUUAGAACUUGUUUGCUUAAUUAUUAAUUUGAACAUUCAGGCUUUUUGUGUAAGAUACUCGCAGGUGACCAAGCAUAGUGCUGGCUAUCCUCUGUAGCAGUAAGGCCAGCAGGAAUAGGUGAUUCAUGAGUAGACCAGAAGGACUUUCAGGUUUCACUGAGGAAGUCUCAGAUGGCAACAUCCAGGUGGCCAAUAUGGAAAUGGUCAUUUCUCUUCUCAGUCUGAACUUUGGAACUACACAACCCAUCUACAGGGGAUGGCUUUAUCAUUUAUUAUUAUGGUUUACUGUAUCAUCAAAUAAACACCAAAAAAAUCCCAGAGAGACUGUAGGCUCCAGACAAACUUCUCUGGUGUAGCAUAGCAACAUGAAGUACUGUGCUGAAGACUGUGGGAAGUCCUGUAAGAAACAGACAUUACACAAAACUGCUUGUGGCAGAAUUUGGACAGUAAAAUCCUCAAAUGAGGCAUUAAAGCUGCCUUUUCCUUUCUUUUGUUCUCAUUCAUGUAUUACAUGUAAAUGACACUUUUUUGGCAUGUUUUUUACAUUAUUUUAAAACAUUCCUGUUCCAGCCACCUCACCUGAAAUUGUCCUGAGCAGGUGCUCAUCAGAAAGAAGUUGGUUACAUUGAUGUUUUUCUUGUGGUUGCAUAAUUAUUGAGAGAACUGACAACAUUUUAACCCUUACAUGGAGUGCCUUCUACUGAAACAGUCUGAAGGGUGGUUCUUACCAUCUCUGAUGUGACUCAACAGGCUGAAGAAUGGCUUUACCUUUCUGCGCAAUCUCUCACUCCCUUAUUUUAAAAAUCUUUUUCUCUCUCUGUUUUCUUUCAUUCCUGCCCUCCCAGGUUUGAUCUGACUGUGAGUCUGAAGAGCCACAUGGUGGUUUGUGCUGGGACAGCACCAUGCCUUUCACAUCUCAUCUACUACUACAUGAACUCCGGCUCCACAGGAACUUGCAAAAUGAACCCCACCAUAAGAAGGUAUCUCUCAGUUGACAUUGUACAAGUUCAUCUGUAUUGCACCAGCUGUUUUCCCUCAGCUCCCAAGAUGAUCAAACUAAUGAACUGUAGCAUGAGGUUAUGUGGAAUCUCCCAGGCCACACCAGCUCAUGCACUUUGCUGGGGACAAAGCCUGCCAUUUUCUUUGCAGACUGAAGAAGUCUCCAGCACUGGUGUCCUUGAAACAUUUUUCUAUUGGGCUGAUUCUGAACAAGUAGCUCCUGUAGCCACAGACAUCCUUGUGCUCAAAGGUGAGGAUUGUUUCUGUUGCUGCCCAAGCCAGGAAGCAGAACUUUAUAGUUGCAGUUGUCUUGGCCAAUGCUCCCCACCACCACCACCAGUGGUGUGGCAAAAUGAGAGAGGACAAGAACCACUCCCAGUCCUGAUCCACAGCACCAAGUGAUUUGUUUCUGACCUGUUUUCACGUUAUCCUCAAGAGGAGUUGCAGAGAUGUCCAUUACAACCUUAACAUGUAGGCUGCAGGUACAGUAUAGAGAAAGCUCCAUCACCUUGUGGUACUAACAAGAGGUAGGAAAAAAAAAAAAACCACAAAAAAACCAAACAAACAAACAAACAAAAAAAAACAUGAACAGAUGCUUCUAAUGAUACAACCCUUUAUCCAAAAAAGGCCAUGGGCGCAAUCCAAAAUCUUUCCACUGAAAUGGAGCAAGACUCCCUAGUCAGAAAAUACUUUCCCCCUCCUUCAUUGUGUUUCCCAACUCCCUCCCUCACAUUAGCUGAACCAAGCCUAGAAGCAGCAUGGCUCAGAGCCAAGGAAUAGGAAUCGUACUGCUGGGGCUUUGUUUACUCUGUUCAGUGUGGAGGGAAAGGGUGAAGCAGUUACUGCUCCAGACACUCCCAGUGCUACCUUGUUUUUCAUGUCAUUAUUUCAACAGGAAAAUCUCUGUAACAGCACUGACACAACAGUGUCUGUCCCCUCAGCAGUCUGGUGACAUCAUUUCCACUGCCAGUGGGUCUGUGCCAGCCAAGUGGCGGCAGGCUGGGUCCUUAGAGAGACUCCUGUUGCUGUAAUGAUCUGCUGGGGUUACAGACCUAUGCAGUUGUCUUCCUUUCAGAGAAUGCUUUUCAAAUGUAACAGCCUUAUUUUUUCAUCAGAAGGUAAUUAUACAGUACAAAUUGGUCCUCAGGUUGCUCAGGGUAGAAGAAAUGAAGGAAGGAAGUACUUUUCUAGAUAUACAGCGACUUUGGAA
Taeniopygia guttata (zebra finch) is the source of this 6447-nucleotide non-coding RNA. The record is from RefSeq and is a predicted model, not a curated record. Lineage: Eukaryota; Metazoa; Chordata; Aves; Passeriformes; Estrildidae.